RNAcentral lists this ribosomal RNA (421 nucleotides) under Rhodococcoides fascians. RNAcentral's name for it is "bacterial SSU rRNA". It matches the Rfam family "Bacterial small subunit ribosomal RNA", at positions 60 to 498 of the family's 1533-position model. The record is from RNAcentral. Lineage: Bacteria; Bacillati; Actinomycetota; Actinomycetes; Mycobacteriales; Nocardiaceae.
AGUCGAGCGGUAAGGCCUUUCGGGGUACACGAGCGGCGAACGGGUGAGUAACACGUGGGUGAUCUGCCCUGCACUCUGGGAUAAGCUUGGGAAACUGGGUCUAAUACCGGAUAUGACCACAGCGCGCAUGUGUUGUGGUGGAAAGAUUUAUCGGUGCAGGAUGGGCCCGCGGCCUAUCAGCUUGUUGGUGGGGUAAUGGCCUACCAAGGCGACGACGGGUAGCCGACCUGAGAGGGUGACCGGCCACACUGGGACUGAGACACGGCCCAGACUCCUACGGGAGGCAGCAGUGGGGAAUAUUGCACAAUGGGCGGAAGCCUGAUGCAGCGACGCCGCGUGAGGGAUGAAGGCCUUCGGGUUGUAAACCUCUUUCAGCAGGGACGAAGCGUGAGUGACGGUACCUGCAGAAGAAGCACCGGCU